AUGAUUUAUAUUGCCUGCUCAGUGAAUUAUUUUAACAGCCGCGCAAGUGCUAAGGUAGCAUAAUAAUUAGUUUCUUAAUUGGGAACAAGAAUGAAAGGUUUCACUAGGAUAGCAGAUAGUUUUACCUAAAGUGAAUUUUUACUAUUGGUGAAAAUACCAAUGUUAGCCAUUAAGACAAAAAGACCCUAUGAAGCUUUAUAACGAAUACAAAUUACAAUCACGCAUAUGUUAUUUUUUUGGGGUAAAAUUAAAUAAUUUUAUUUAGAUCGAUUAGUUUAGUAAAUCCUUUUUGAAAAAUGAACUAGCUCCUCUAGGGAUAACAGCAUUAUUCUGAUGAGAGACCCUAUCGGAAUCAGAGUUUGUGA
RNAcentral lists this ribosomal RNA (365 nucleotides) under Eucalanus californicus. RNAcentral's name for it is "partial 16S ribosomal RNA". It matches the Rfam family "Bacterial large subunit ribosomal RNA", at positions 1845 to 2523 of the family's 2925-position model. Lineage: Eukaryota; Metazoa; Arthropoda; Copepoda; Calanoida; Eucalanidae. The record is from RNAcentral.